CCUACGGGAGGCAGCAGUGAGGAAUAUUGGUCAAUGGGCGCGAGCCUGAACCAGCCAAGCAGCGUGAAGGAUGAAUGCCCUACGGGUUGUAAACUUCUUUUAUAAAGGAAUAAAGUUGGGCACGAGUGCCUUUUUGUAUGUACUUUAUGAAGAAGGAUCGGCUAACUCCGUGCCAGCAGCCGCGGUAAUACGGAGGAUCGGAGCGUUAUCCGGAUUUAUUGGGUUUAAAGGGAGGCGAGAGGGGUUGGUAAGUCAGUGGUGAAAGUUUGGGGCUCAACCCCAAACUCGCAAUUGAUACUGGCAGUCUAGAGUUGAGUUGAGGUAGGCGGAAGGCGUGGUGUAGCGGUGAGAUGCUUAGAUAUCACGAAGAACUCCGAUUGCGAAGGCAGCAUAC
RNAcentral lists this ribosomal RNA (394 nucleotides) under uncultured bacterium. RNAcentral's name for it is "partial 16S ribosomal RNA". It matches the Rfam family "Bacterial small subunit ribosomal RNA", at positions 338 to 729 of the family's 1533-position model. The record is from RNAcentral.